GAGGGUAUAGCUCAAGUGGUAGAGUGCAUGCUUGAUAUGCAUGAGGUCCCAGGUUCAAUCCCCUGCACCUCUU
Molecule: transfer RNA, 73 nt
Filed under: Camelus bactrianus (Bactrian camel)
Lineage: Eukaryota; Metazoa; Chordata; Mammalia; Artiodactyla; Camelidae
Also listed under: 2 other names
Rfam family: tRNA
About the family: Transfer RNA (tRNA) molecules are approximately 80 nucleotides in length. Their secondary structure includes four short double-helical elements and three loops (D, anti-codon, and T loops).
Source: Rfam by way of RNAcentral